This 467-nucleotide ribosomal RNA is filed under the name uncultured bacterium. RNAcentral describes it as "partial 16S ribosomal RNA". It matches the Rfam family "Bacterial small subunit ribosomal RNA", at positions 28 to 507 of the family's 1533-position model. The record is from RNAcentral.
GACGAACGCUGGCGGCGUGCUUAACACAUGCAAGUCGAACGGAAAGGCCUCUUUCGGGGGGUACUCGAGUGGCGAACGGGUGAGUAACACGUGAGUAACCUGCCCUUGACUUUGGGAUAACUUCAGUAAACUGGGGCUAAUACCGGAUAGGAGCUCCUGCUGCAUGGUGGGGGUUGGAAAGUUUCGGCGGUUGGGGAUGGACUCGCGGCUUAUCAGCUUGUUGGUGGGGUAGUGGCUUACCAAGGCUUUGACGGGUAGCCGGCCUGAGAGGGUGACCGGCCACAUUGGGACUGAGAUACGGCCCAGACUCCUACGGGAGGCAGCAGUGGGGAAUAUUGCACAAUGGGUGGAAGCCUGAUGCAGCAACGCCGUGUGCGGGAUGACGGCCUUCGGGUUGGAAACCGCUUUCGCUCAUGACGAAGCUUUGUGUGACGGUAGUGGGUAAAGAAGCACCGGCUAACUACGUG